AUGAGGAACGGUGCGUGCAAUUCUAGGGUUGAAACAAAGUGUCUCUUGGACUUCCAUUCACAGAGAAUUUCCUUUUCCUCUUUAUCGCACGAUGCACCUCACUUAGAAAACAGUCGCCCAAGUCUUUCGGCUUUGUACUCGAAUGGGGCUUGUUUGAAGAAAACUUGUGAUUCAUUAAGGAUUAAUGAAGAUGCAUUUUGGAGUUUGAAGAAACCAAGAAGUUUGAAGAUGUAUUGGCUUAGGAAUUUGGUUUUGGAUUUUGUAGGUUUUCAUGUAUAG
Non-coding RNA from Vicia faba (fava bean), 279 nucleotides. Lineage: Eukaryota; Viridiplantae; Streptophyta; Magnoliopsida; Fabales; Fabaceae. The record is from the annotation of a GenBank genome assembly.